This is a long non-coding RNA of Penaeus vannamei (Pacific white shrimp), 1627 nucleotides long. RefSeq lists it as uncharacterized. Lineage: Eukaryota; Metazoa; Arthropoda; Malacostraca; Decapoda; Penaeidae. The record is from RefSeq and is a predicted model, not a curated record.
UUAUAAACUGUGACAAAUAUUAUAUAUAAUAUAACAUAUAAACUUACACAAAUGCAAUGUUACCUAAUCCACUUGGAGAUUCUACAACUGUCUUGUUGCUAAGUUGCACUUUACUUUUUUUGCUUUUGUUGAAGAAACUCGACUCCUGUUGGUUAUAUUGCUUGCAAUGCUUUUAUACAUUCUAAAGUUGUUAGUUCUUUAUGGUUCCUUCUGAAAGUUCUGAUUUUUUAGGUUCCUUAUUUCUAAACUUACACUCUUAGGCAUUUUGAGAGAAAACAAGACCAAUCAGUAGCUUUGGGUCUAAGAAUGAGCCGCUAAACCUUUAGUCCUUUGGUUCCUCCAGGACGAAAUGUGUUUCUUUCGAUCCAGGAAAGGUUUUACACAGUACAUUGACCAGAACAAAGUCUAACUGACACAUUAUUCUUCAUAGCAGACUCCACAUCCCUCAACUUAGAGAUCGCCAUCCUUGUGUCCAGGAUAACUCUAGGUGUAUCAAAUCACUACAGUUGCUUGGAAUGUACAUGCCCCAACAUGAUCUGAGAUGAUCUGGCCUGUAAUGGGCAUACGGAAUAUGAAGUUAGAGUGACCCAAAAAUUCAUCUGGAAACCAUCCUUUGUGUACCUCAUUUACUUAGUCUUGAAGCAUGUGUUGCAACUUAUGUAUACCUCAGUUUUAAUUAUGUAUGUUGUUCUAGUACUUAAUUAUUUGCUCAGAAAGAUGAUACUCUAUUUCUACUAUUUCUAUAUGGUUUUGUAUAUGUAUGUAAUAUUCCACUAGAUAUUAAGGAAUUGACGAAUCUAUAUAAAACAUAAUAGUGUACCCUAUGUAUUCUCAGUUUUCUCUGGUGUAUCCCCACCACAUUCUCUUUGUUUAAGGGUACUCUAUUAUAUUGUACUGGCACUAUUAUAUCCAGGUUGUAUAAUGAAUAUUCUUUUAAAAAAUAGAUAUGCAUUAAUUUUGUUACUUGAAAGAUUGUGUUAUGAAAUUAUGCAUGUAUGGAUUAAGGAGGACGUGUAAUGCUUGUAAUAUAUGGGAUCUGAGUAGGAAUUAGAUUAUUAAAUACUUAUGAUGUUAUACCUGAUAUUGUCACAAUAACCACAAAGAGAGACAGAGAGAGGGAAGUGCCAUUAACUACAAGAAAUGAGUAAGGUUAAUAUCUGGGAAUACCAAAGGUAAGAAAGGACACAGUAAUGUAAUGAUAACAUUAAUAAAAGUAUAGCUAUAAAUAUCAUGUGGAGAAUAAAGUGAUUAUUUGAGGUGAGUAGAAAAUAGAGGUAAAGAAGAUAUCUCCUUGACAGCUCCUUGCUGACCUGGCACUGUGGCACCUCCAGUCAUACCUCAUGACCUAUUGAGGAUUUAAAAACCCAUUCAGAGAGAAUGGGUUUUGUGUUGUGGUUUUAUUCUGCAAUCUGGUUAAGAGGAGAGAGAAAGAUAAACCAAGAAUCUUCUAAGAAGUUGGAAACUAUAACCAGAGCGAGCAAGAUUACUCUGUAAGGAAGAGAGAAGACAGAAGAACAGACAAGAGAAGAAUGGUAUAAGGUUGGAGUGCGCUCAGUUGAUGAGUAUGGUAAAUUAUUGGGAAUGAUUGUAAUGAUUUAUGACGCAAAAUAUCAACAAGAAUUUUGUA